Molecule: long non-coding RNA, 1006 nt
Filed under: Homo sapiens (human)
Lineage: Eukaryota; Metazoa; Chordata; Mammalia; Primates; Hominidae
Description: non-protein coding ZNF295-AS1:2
Source: RNAcentral
ACCGGGGCACCUGUCUAAAAACACCCCGCCUCCGAACGCGCGCUCUUGCGGAAUUCUCCCGAACCGCAGAGCCCUCGUGGCUGGGACCGCAUAGCAACCGGGGGCAGAGUGCGAGCCCCCAGCGGUGUGCUGGGAUGGAAAAGCAGGAGCCGCUGAGGAUGGACUACGGGGCGUGUUCCCGAAAAGCCGGGAAGAGAUGUGGCGGGGCUGCCGCGGGCGUCUCUAAGGCCGGCACGGGUGGCGUCUUGACUCCCUGCCCCUCCAGCCGCGGACCUCGGACGGGGGGAAGGGGGCUCCUCCAAGCGGGGAGACGGUCGCCGGCCGAGCAGCAGGGCUCCUGGCCGGCGGAGGGUGCUAUGCUCUGCGGGACCGCCGGGAAGUCCCAGACAAGGAUCUAUGAAAGAUAAAAUGUGGUGUGAGGACACGGCCCAGCCCCACCGUCGUCUUCCAGCCCCACCAUCGUCUUCCAGCCCCACCGUCGUCUUCCAGUCCCACCGUCGUCUUCUAGCCCCACCAUCGUCGUCUUGGACUCUCUGGGUGGCACCACGCUGUGGGUGCUGCUCUCCUCUGUGUCCCAAACGAGUUUGUGCCUCACUUUGUCGGGUUUUGGCUGUGACUUGGAGCCUCACCAAGCUCCCUUUUCCUCUGUCUCCCAUUCUCCUCUCCAGGCCAGGGUGGCUUCCCCAGCCCUCCUCCCCGGGUCCUGCCUGUGCCGAGCCUUCCUCCCAGGAGGGAGGUGAUACUGACUUGAGAUCUUAUGGGUGUUUUGUUUGUGGCUGGGCCUGGCCGACCCUCUCUCCACGGCCUUAGAUCACACUCUGGAUGGAUAGGACAGUCGUCCUCAAUACUGAGCCUCUUUGGAGCAUACCCACUGAUGGUGGUUCACAAGCUACCCACGCCCACAGGCUGACCCAGAUCUCCGUGAAAUUAAAAAAUACUGUGAAAGGAAAAAGAGCCAAUGUCAUGUGGAUAAUGAAGUGUCAGCCACUGAAAAAUCUCAAAAUAA